Molecule: long non-coding RNA, 401 nt
Filed under: Setaria italica (foxtail millet)
Lineage: Eukaryota; Viridiplantae; Streptophyta; Magnoliopsida; Poales; Poaceae
Description: long non-coding RNA (SITA_LNC007125)
Source: RNAcentral
CGGCGUGUACGGGUUCUGGAAGUACGUGUCCAACCUGGAGAGGCGCGAGACCCGGCGGUACCUGGAGAUGCUGUACGCGCUCAAGUACCGCACCAUGGCCAGCACGGUGCCGUUGGCCGUGGAGGGAGAGCCCUCCAGCAAGUGAUGCGGCGGCCGGGGCCUGAAAGAAGGGAGCACUUGAAGUCGUCUUUUCCUGGGUUCCUUCCUUAUUUCUGAGGCCAAAAGAAGAAGAGUUUGGUUUUCCUAGGCGGGCAUCAAGAAUCAAGGUCUUCCAUUGAUGUGGGCGUUGCUGCUAGUUUUGAGUUGAUUUGGUAGUUGGGGAUGCAUGGGGUGUGUGUGUGCAGUCGGUCAUGGGUGCUCCCUUGUUUCCUGGAUGGAUGGAUGUUGCUCCUUCAAUAAAC